AGUGAACGCUGGCGGUAUGCCUAACACAUGCAAGUCGAACGGAAGCACAGUAAGAUCUUUCCCUUACGGGUGGCGAGUGACGGAUGUGUAAGAAAUACAUACACAUCUACUUUUACUUGGGUAACAACGGAAAGACACUGACACUACUAGCGCAUAAAAUCUACUGGUUGGAUCAAUGGUUGUACGCAGUUUUCGCGUUGCAAAUAGACGAUGUCGCAUUAGCUAGUUUGCUUGGUAAAGGCCCACCAAGGCAACGAUCCGUAGCUGGUCUGAGAGGAUGAUCAGCCACACUGGAACUGAGACACGGUCCAGACUCCUACGGGCGGCAGCAGUCGGGACUAUUCGCCAAUGGGCGAAAGCUUGAUCCAGCCACACCGCGUGCGUGCAGAAGGACUUCGGGUUGUAAACCGCUGUUCUUACGCAAGAAAAGCCGAAGAUUUAUGGAUUGUUGUUGUGACGGUACCAAAAGAAUAAGCCACGGCUAACUUCGUG
This 492-nucleotide ribosomal RNA is filed under the name uncultured bacterium. RNAcentral's name for it is "partial 16S ribosomal RNA". It matches the Rfam family "Bacterial small subunit ribosomal RNA", at positions 29 to 507 of the family's 1533-position model. The record is from RNAcentral.